AUAUUGAUCUCACCUCUUAAGUCCUUGUGUGGACUAGUAUCUUGUGUCUCAGCUAGUUUUAUUAUUAUUACUGCAGUUUAAAUGGAGGAAUGGUUGGUUUUAUUCGCUCUCCGAGAAGGCGAUUGUAGAAGGGAAACCUGAUCCGUGUCAACUCCACACCCAGUGGCUGAGAGAGCUAAAAGUGAUAUAGAGCCUUGACGGUACGUGACACUUUAGUAGAUAGUCGCAGAUCAUUGAUCUGAAACUUGUUUGAGCUUUGUACACGUAUGAGAAGCCAAAUAACGGUAAAACGUUUGACAUUUUGUUAAAAAAAGCCCAGACUUUUAUUCGUGAAAAGUAUGCGUAUCCAACGAGCAAACGUCUGGUUCUUGUCCUAUCAGUUAGAAAAUUUGAAGUUGUUUUUUUUUUCAUAUUAGCUGUCCUUAUUAGGUGAUCUAGGAGGUUUCAUCUUAACUGAUCUCCAGAUGGUCCCACCUUUGAAAAUAACCUGUCCUGAAAAAAGUUUGUUUCCUUGCGUCUUUGAAGACUAAAAAAACAAAGAACCAGGAUCGUGUACGUAAUCUUGUCUGAAUCUUCGCCAAGUUGGUCCAAAGAGGUGUUCUGAAGGUUUCUUAUCCCAGUUACUAUAAUACAGGGCUGAAGAUUAGCGUUAGCAUAUCACAUAACAAAUGGAACAGGAGAACUUUGCUUGUCAAAUGGUACAGUGAGUAGAAGUUACGUUAAUUGUAACAAAAGAAGUUGCAUUUGUAGCUUUGGUAACUAUCUAGAGCGAAUCUAUAUAGAACUUGUAGAUGUAUUAGAGCGAAGCUAAAGAAGACCCACACAGACGAGCACUCGGUAUCGACCAGAUUUCCACUUUCACCCACCGAGAUUGACCAACCAGCUGAGAGCAUUGCAGAGUACAUACAUGCUCGUGAGAGAAAAUAUGAUGUGAAAGAAUGGGUAUGAGUAAGUCACUGGCUUCUUCUGCGCUUUCUCUUCCUUGUAUUCUGUUUUCCCGUCUAGCGGAAAGCAGAGGCUUUUCUGAACGUUUCCAACACCAACCAUCUUGUUGCAGUCCAAGUUUGUGAAAUAAGUUGUAGACAUGCUAAAAUGAAGGUUCUAUCAAAAAUUUAGAUGUCUAACAAAAUGGUGUAACUGCUACAUAUGUUUUGUUCGCAAACACCCUUCGGAUGUUGCAAGAGUCAGAUCGUAGGUAAAUGCAUUUGUGGAAUGUGAAUGACACACUGUGUGCCAAAUUUGCAGGUUUGGUUAUAUCAAAACCAUGGUUCUUGAUGGGAUUGUAUCUUCACCAUUAAGGAGACACCAGUCUCUAAAGAAGCAGUGGGAAGAUUUGGGCAGCUGCUCCACCGUUAUCAACAGGCAUCGAUAUCUUUUAACAGCUUUGCUUCUUUUGGCCUUCCUUUGCACUGUUUAUCUAUACUUCGCUGUUACUUUAGGUUCUAGACACUCCUCGUGCUAUGGCUUGACCGGGAAAGACAAGGCAGUGUGUCAAUUUCAACAUGUCCAAGCUAUCUCUAAAGGGAAACUCAAAUUCUUCUAGAGUUGUCAUGGAGCCAAAGCUGAAACCCCACCUUAUUCUUAUUGAUCUCCAACAUUAAUUUUUAAAAAUUGAUUGUACAAUGCCAUUUGUGUGUAUUAUUAUUAUUAUUACAUGGUGAAAAAACCUGAGACAUAUCAUAAUUGAAAAGAUCAAAGCAUUUUCUUUUAUGAGAUGAGAGGAUAUAUCUGCAGUGUUUCGAGAAGUUGAUCACCAUGUUUGUAGAGGAUCCAGAGGCUCAACAUUAGGUUUCGGGGAUGUGUUACUAUACGUAGAUGCUGGAGCAGUCGCACCAACGUCCACGGUCUCGUUUAUUUUGAGUUCCAUGGCUUGAUCAUCUUCGUCCUCAAUAUAAAUCUAUUGAGUCAUAAGAAGAAGAGCUACCUCUCUGUUGUGAGAACAGAGUGCUCAGCUCAGAGAGAGAAGCAGGCCAAAGAUACAAUACAUUUGAUGACGUUAGAGCAGAAAAUACUUGCCAUAAUCUUUUUUUUUUUUUUGAAAGAAUUCUAAAUUUAUUCAAACAAAAAAACCUUUUUACAGAAUGUACAGCAUCUCUAUUACAAAAGAUAUGAAAGAACAGAAAAAGCUACUACUACUCCUUGAGCUUCUCCCUAACCAAAUAAUCAUUGUCUUCUCAUGUUUCCCACCCGGUUUCCUUCUUAGCGAUGUGAUUCGGUUUCGCACCAUCUUAUCCAAUCUCACACUUAAACAAGCAGCAGGCUAAGAAGACUCUCCCACCCUCCUCACAUUUCGUUCAUGCCAAAUAGCAUAAACUACCACUUGGACACAAUAUCUCAUCAGAUACAUCAACCCUUUCUCUUGCGAACCAGUCACCACAGCUCAAAUCACUCUAUUCCAUUGAUAAAGAUUUUCACAUUAUUCAUAAUGUAUAAUUCAUCUAAAUGAAAUUACACACAAAAAUCACCAAAAAACGACAUAAAUUAUAUCAUAAACCCAUAAACACAAUUUUCAAAAUCCUUUUUAAUAUUUUAAAAUUUGCAUUGAAUCUUUUUUUUACACUAACCGAGAUAUACACUUCUUUUUAAUAGUAUUUCAGUAAAAAUUUCACCAAAAACGGACAUAAAAUAUACCCGAAAUUCAUAAACACAGUUUUUAAAAUCGUUUUUUAUCUCUCAAUAUUUUCAUUAAUUCUUACCUUUUUAACGUUACCCAUGAUAUAAAAACAUUUAAAUGAUAUUCCAGAAAAAAAUCAUCGAAAACAGACAUAAAAUAUACCUGAAAUCCAUAAACACAGUUUUCAAAAUCGUUUUUAUCUCUCAAUAUUUUCCUCAAUUCUUACUUUUUUAACGUUACCCAUGAUGUAAAAAACAUUUAAAUGAUAUUCCAGAAAAACAAUCAUCGAAAAUGGACAAGAAUCACCUCUUCUUCAAGCUUCAAAAUCAUCAAUGGAGGAUGGGGAAGAUGAGCUUUCACGAUGGGAGAUAAAAGCAUGUGGGCCAAGUAAAAUCUCAUUGGUUAAGGUUAAUAUGUGGGCCAUGGUGGUAGAUGAAUUAUGGUUGGUUAAUUUAAUUGGAGAAAUUAAUGUAUUUAUGAGGUGGAAUAAGAUAUAAUAAACUAAUGAAGGGUUAUAUAUGGAAGCACAAUGAUAAAGGGGGAGUGAGAAUAGAGAGGGGAUAAGGAGAAUCAUUUUUUUUUUCAUAGGGGCAUAUGGAGUUAAAGACCGUUUAUUUUUGCCUUUUUCUCUGUUUCCUAUGGACCCAAACUGUCACUAAAUAAUACUAGUAGUGGGACUCUUCCUUGUCGUUUUCCUUUGUCGGGAAACUGAAAUUUUAUGAUUGGGUUUAGGGAGAUUUGAUUAUUAGCGGGAACCGUGUUUGAAAAACCGAGUAAAAUAAACAGAAUUACCUUACCGUUUGGUUUGGUACAACUUCGGUUUCGGCGAUUCAAAAGUUAGUAAACCGAAAUGAUUCAUCUAUCUAUAUUAUUAAAACUGAAGUACAUUUUGGUAUUGAUGGAAAACAUUGAGAAUUGUUUAAAAAUAUAGAUAACAAAUUAGUUACUUCAUUUUAUUUACAUAUUUAGCCAUUGCAUUUAUAAUAAAUUACGUAUUUCUUUUUUGUAUUUUUUAUUUACAGAUUCUGCCACUACAUUUAAAAUCAAUUUAGUUAAUUAAUUACAAUGGUUGUUGUUUCUUUAUGGUGAAAAUAAAAACACAAACUGAAAUAUAUAGUAUAUAUUAUAUAUAAGAAUUUUAAAUAUAGUAUUAUUUUAUUUAGUUUAGUCAAAUAUAAAAAUUUCGAGAAUUCAAUUUUCAAAAAAACAAAAUAUCAUAAAAUUAAUAAUAAUUCAUAGAAAACUAAUGCAAAAAUUAAAAUUUUAGGUAUGCCUUUUUCAUUUGAAAAUAAAUUAACAAAAGAGAACAACAUGUUAAUAUAUGAACAAUACAAUUACAUCAAAUUGUAUUAAAUUAUAAUAAAAAUAUAAUAUUAUGUACAAAGAAAAAAAUUUAUUAUCAAACAUCUAUAUUAUAAAAUAAUAUUCUCUACUCUAUAUAUGUAAACUACAAAACAUAAAAAAUAUACAUUGAUUUUUUUUUAUAAAACCAACGGUUUAUGAUUUUAUAUUAAACACAAAUUAAAUCAGACAUCCGCGCAGGGCACAAGUAAGUUAUAGUAUCUUAUUACUUGUCGUUGCAUAAUGUUGGAUAUGUGCCCUGAUUAUUGUCCAAUAGCAAUCAAGAAGAAAAGAAAAACGGCCCAGCAAGAGCCCAACCCAUUUCACCAAGGGUCAGUUGGUUUACAUGUUCGUCAGGACGACCUGAACACGCAACUGAGUGUCAGGAAAAAAUGGCGCGGCGCCUAGCAGUACACUUCAAAACUUUUGCCCCCAAAACACUACUUUAUCGUUUGAAUGAAGAUUUCUAGACCUGAUUAUCGAAUCUAGGAUUCAACACUUACGAUAUGUAACAUGAUCAAUUUCACAACAGCAAAACAACUUUGGCUAUUCGUAGAUUAUAGAUCGCAGUUGCAUGUUGCAGAGACGUGCAAUGAAUAGGUUGAUAUGCAUCUGAACGGGUUAGACCCGAUUUGAGCAUCUCCGUGUUUAGAAAGAUACUUAGUCUCUUCGGGCACAUCUGAUAAAAUUAGAUCAUUACAGAAAAGAUUAGCGUGGCCCAUCCGCUAGGAUGACAUGCACAAAUCGAGAAAUUGUCUAAAUUGAAGCCUUUGACUAAAAAACAUACUCAAACCAUCGAACUACUUGCCGUUUUGGUUUUAUCAAACCGCAUGUCAUGUUGUUUUCAGCUUCGCGAAUCAACCAAAGCCGAUAAGCUAUAGUGGGUCAGAGCCUCGAAUCAUCGAGUGGCUAAUAAACCAUCACUGUUUACGAAAUAGUCCAAAACCAUGAGAGGCCACAACUUCGCCGAAGCCCAUUAUCAUCCUUUCAAUGGCUAAAGCCACCACCACUCUGUUUGCUAUCUCCUCUGUUUCGACUCGUUUCUCUCUUCUCCGUCGUUCUAAAUCUCUUAAACCAUCAGCUCCAAGCGCAAGACUCGCCGUGCCAAUGGCUAUGGCCGCCUCUGCUAAAAAGGUGGCUCCUGCUGUGAUCGUGGGUGGGGGAAGAGUCGGAAGGGCGUUGCAGGAAAUGGGUAGUGGCGGUGAUUUGUUGGUGAAGAGAGGAGAAGCAGUCCCGGUUGAUUUCGAAGGACCCAUUUUGGUUUGUACUAGAAAUGAUGAUCUCGAUGCUGUUCUUGAUGCUACUCCUCAGUCUAGAUGGAAAGGUAUAAACUUUCUCUCUACUCUUAAAGAUUCUUGAGUGAAUCAAAUUGCCAGAUGUUUUCUGGGAGAUAAUGAUUAUGUUGUGCUCUGUGUAAAUAAUCAGAUUUGGUGUUCUUCCAAAACGGAAUGAUGGAGCCGUGGUUUGAGAGCAAAGGUUUGGGUGAUGCAGACCAAGUGUUGGCUUAUUUUGCUGUUUCGAAGAUUGGUGAGCCUCCUGUGGAUGGAAUAACUGACACUAACCCAGAAGGGUUAACCGCUGCUUAUGGCAAAUCGGCUUCGGAUGUAGCUGCAAGACUUCAAUCUGGUGGCCUCUCUUGCAAGGUUACGUGAAUCAAAACUUGUUUUUACUCUAUAACAAAAGAAAACAAGACUACUUACGUGUGUCUUUCCGUGGUUAGGUACUUGAGAAAGAAGCUUUUGAGAAGCAAAUGUUGGAGAAACUCAUUUGGAUUUGUGCGUUUAUGCUUGUUGGAGCUCGUCAUCCAGGUGCAAGUGUUGGCAUUGUGGAGAAAGAAUACAGAGACGAAGUACAAAAGUCUCCAUCCCUCUGUUCUUGUUUUAGCAUUCAGAAAAUCGUUGUUCACGUCUAACUUCUAAUUAAUUUAUAAGUUCAGGUGUCGAGACUCAUCCAAGAACUCGCAGCAGCUGCUGCUGCAGAAAAGGGACUAACGUUUGAAGACAACAUGGUGGAGAGACUAUGUGCUUAUUCUCGCGCUGUUGCUCAUUUCCCAACCGCUGUUAAAGAAGUAUACAUAUACAUAUUGAUCUCACCUCUUAAGUCCUUGUGUGGACUAGUAUCUUGUGUCUCAGCUAGUUUUAUUAUUAUUACUGCAGUUUAAAUGGAGGAAUGGUUGGUUUUAUUCGCUCUCCGAGAAGGCGAUUGUAGAAGGGAAACCUGAUCCGUGUCAACUCCACACCCAGUGGCUGAGAGAGCUAAAAGUGAUAUAGAGCCUUGACGGUACGUGACACUUUAGUAGAUAGUCGCAGAUCAUUGAUCUGAAACUUGUUUGAGCUUUGUACACGUAUGAGAAGCCAAAUAACGGUAAAACGUUUGACAUUUUGUUAAAAAAAGCCCAGACUUUUAUUCGUGAAAAGUAUGCGUAUCCAACGAGCAAACGUCUGGUUCUUGUCCUAUCAGUUAGAAAAUUUGAAGUUGUUUUUUUUUUCAUAUUAGCUGUCCUUAUUAGGUGAUCUAGGAGGUUUCAUCUUAACUGAUCUCCAGAUGGUCCCACCUUUGAAAAUAACCUGUCCUGAAAAAAGUUUGUUUCCUUGCGUCUUUGAAGACUAAAAAAACAAAGAACCAGGAUCGUGUACGUAAUCUUGUCUGAAUCUUCGCCAAGUUGGUCCAAAGAGGUGUUCUGAAGGUUUCUUAUCCCAGUUACUAUAAUACAGGGCUGAAGAUUAGCGUUAGCAUAUCACAUAACAAAUGGAACAGGAGAACUUUGCUUGUCAAAUGGUACAGUGAGUAGAAGUUACGUUAAUUGUAACAAAAGAAGUUGCAUUUGUAGCUUUGGUAACUAUCUAGAGCGAAUCUAUAUAGAACUUGUAGAUGUAUUAGAGCGAAGCUAAAGAAGACCCACACAGACGAGCACUCGGUAUCGACCAGAUUUCCACUUUCACCCACCGAGAUUGACCAACCAGCUGAGAGCAUUGCAGAGUACAUACAUGCUCGUGAGAGAAAAUAUGAUGUGAAAGAAUGGGUAUGAGUAAGUCACUGGCUUCUUCUGCGCUUUCUCUUCCUUGUAUUCUGUUUUCCCGUCUAGCGGAAAGCAGAGGCUUUUCUGAACGUUUCCAACACCAACCAUCUUGUUGCAGUCCAAGUUUGUGAAAUAAGUUGUAGACAUGCUAAAAUGAAGGUUCUAUCAAAAAUUUAGAUGUCUAACAAAAUGGUGUAACUGCUACAUAUGUUUUGUUCGCAAACACCCUUCGGAUGUUGCAAGAGUCAGAUCGUAGGUAAAUGCAUUUGUGGAAUGUGAAUGACACACUGUGUGCCAAAUUUGCAGGUUUGGUUAUAUCAAAACCAUGGUUCUUGAUGGGAUUGUAUCUUCACCAUUAAGGAGACACCAGUCUCUAAAGAAGCAGUGGGAAGAUUUGGGCAGCUGCUCCACCGUUAUCAACAGGCAUCGAUAUCUUUUAACAGCUUUGCUUCUUUUGGCCUUCCUUUGCACUGUUUAUCUAUACUUCGCUGUUACUUUAGGUUCUAGACACUCCUCGUGCUAUGGCUUGACCGGGAAAGACAAGGCAGUGUGUCAAUUUCAACAUGUCCAAGCUAUCUCUAAAGGGAAACUCAAAUUCUUCUAGAGUUGUCAUGGAGCCAAAGCUGAAACCCCACCUUAUUCUUAUUGAUCUCCAACAUUAAUUUUUAAAAAUUGAUUGUACAAUGCCAUUUGUGUGUAUUAUUAUUAUUAUUACAUGGUGAAAAAACCUGAGACAUAUCAUAAUUGAAAAGAUCAAAGCAUUUUCUUUUAUGAGAUGAGAGGAUAUAUCUGCAGUGUUUCGAGAAGUUGAUCACCAUGUUUGUAGAGGAUCCAGAGGCUCAACAUUAGGUUUCGGGGAUGUGUUACUAUACGUAGAUGCUGGAGCAGUCGCACCAACGUCCACGGUCUCGUUUAUUUUGAGUUCCAUGGCUUGAUCAUCUUCGUCCUCAAUAUAAAUCUAUUGAGUCAUAAGAAGAAGAGCUACCUCUCUGUUGUGAGAACAGAGUGCUCAGCUCAGAGAGAGAAGCAGGCCAAAGAUACAAUACAUUUGAUGACGUUAGAGCAGAAAAUACUUGCCAUAAUCUUUUUUUUUUUUUUGAAAGAAUUCUAAAUUUAUUCAAACAAAAAAACCUUUUUACAGAAUGUACAGCAUCUCUAUUACAAAAGAUAUGAAAGAACAGAAAAAGCUACUACUACUCCUUGAGCUUCUCCCUAACCAAAUAAUCAUUGUCUUCUCAUGUUUCCCACCCGGUUUCCUUCUUAGCGAUGUGAUUCGGUUUCGCACCAUCUUAUCCAAUCUCACACUUAAACAAGCAGCAGGCUAAGAAGACUCUCCCACCCUCCUCACAUUUCGUUCAUGCCAAAUAGCAUAAACUACCACUUGGACACAAUAUCUCAUCAGAUACAUCAACCCUUUCUCUUGCGAACCAGUCACCACAGCUCAAAUCACUCUAUUCCAUUGAUAAAGAUUUUCUUUGAAAAACCGAGUAAAAUAAACAGAAUUACCUUACCGUUUGGUUUGGUACAACUUCGGUUUCGGCGAUUCAAAAGUUAGUAAACCGAAAUGAUUCAUCUAUCUAUAUUAUUAAAACUGAAGUACAUUUUGGUAUUGAUGGAAAACAUUGAGAAUUGUUUAAAAAUAUAGAUAACAAAUUAGUUACUUCAUUUUAUUUACAUAUUUAGCCAUUGCAUUUAUAAUAAAUUACGUAUUUCUUUUUUGUAUUUUUUAUUUACAGAUUCUGCCACUACAUUUAAAAUCAAUUUAGUUAAUUAAUUACAAUGGUUGUUGUUUCUUUAUGGUGAAAAUAAAAACACAAACUGAAAUAUAUAGUAUAUAUUAUAUAUAAGAAUUUUAAAUAUAGUAUUAUUUUAUUUAGUUUAGUCAAAUAUAAAAAUUUCGAGAAUUCAAUUUUCAAAAAAACAAAAUAUCAUAAAAUUAAUAAUAAUUCAUAGAAAACUAAUGCAAAAAUUAAAAUUUUAGGUAUGCCUUUUUCAUUUGAAAAUAAAUUAACAAAAGAGAACAACAUGUUAAUAUAUGAACAAUACAAUUACAUCAAAUUGUAUUAAAUUAUAAUAAAAAUAUAAUAUUAUGUACAAAGAAAAAAAUUUAUUAUCAAACAUCUAUAUUAUAAAAUAAUAUUCUCUACUCUAUAUAUGUAAACUACAAAACAUAAAAAAUAUACAUUGAUUUUUUUUUAUAAAACCAACGGUUUAUGAUUUUAUAUUAAACACAAAUUAAAUCAGACAUCCGCGCAGGGCACAAGUAAGUUAUAGUAUCUUAUUACUUGUCGUUGCAUAAUGUUGGAUAUGUGCCCUGAUUAUUGUCCAAUAGCAAUCAAGAAGAAAAGAAAAACGGCCCAGCAAGAGCCCAACCCAUUUCACCAAGGGUCAGUUGGUUUACAUGUUCGUCAGGACGACCUGAACACGCAACUGAGUGUCAGGAAAAAAUGGCGCGGCGCCUAGCAGUACACUUCAAAACUUUUGCCCCCAAAACACUACUUUAUCGUUUGAAUGAAGAUUUCUAGACCUGAUUAUCGAAUCUAGGAUUCAACACUUACGAUAUGUAACAUGAUCAAUUUCACAACAGCAAAACAACUUUGGCUAUUCGUAGAUUAUAGAUCGCAGUUGCAUGUUGCAGAGACGUGCAAUGAAUAGGUUGAUAUGCAUCUGAACGGGUUAGACCCGAUUUGAGCAUCUCCGUGUUUAGAAAGAUACUUAGUCUCUUCGGGCACAUCUGAUAAAAUUAGAUCAUUACAGAAAAGAUUAGCGUGGCCCAUCCGCUAGGAUGACAUGCACAAAUCGAGAAAUUGUCUAAAUUGAAGCCUUUGACUAAAAAACAUACUCAAACCAUCGAACUACUUGCCGUUUUGGUUUUAUCAAACCGCAUGUCAUGUUGUUUUCAGCUUCGCGAAUCAACCAAAGCCGAUAAGCUAUAGUGGGUCAGAGCCUCGAAUCAUCGAGUGGCUAAUAAACCAUCACUGUUUACGAAAUAGUCCAAAACCAUGAGAGGCCACAACUUCGCCGAAGCCCAUUAUCAUCCUUUCAAUGGCUAAAGCCACCACCACUCUGUUUGCUAUCUCCUCUGUUUCGACUCGUUUCUCUCUUCUCCGUCGUUCUAAAUCUCUUAAACCAUCAGCUCCAAGCGCAAGACUCGCCGUGCCAAUGGCUAUGGCCGCCUCUGCUAAAAAGGUGGCUCCUGCUGUGAUCGUGGGUGGGGGAAGAGUCGGAAGGGCGUUGCAGGAAAUGGGUAGUGGCGGUGAUUUGUUGGUGAAGAGAGGAGAAGCAGUCCCGGUUGAUUUCGAAGGACCCAUUUUGGUUUGUACUAGAAAUGAUGAUCUCGAUGCUGUUCUUGAUGCUACUCCUCAGUCUAGAUGGAAAGGUAUAAACUUUCUCUCUACUCUUAAAGAUUCUUGAGUGAAUCAAAUUGCCAGAUGUUUUCUGGGAGAUAAUGAUUAUGUUGUGCUCUGUGUAAAUAAUCAGAUUUGGUGUUCUUCCAAAACGGAAUGAUGGAGCCGUGGUUUGAGAGCAAAGGUUUGGGUGAUGCAGACCAAGUGUUGGCUUAUUUUGCUGUUUCGAAGAUUGGUGAGCCUCCUGUGGAUGGAAUAACUGACACUAACCCAGAAGGGUUAACCGCUGCUUAUGGCAAAUCGGCUUCGGAUGUAGCUGCAAGACUUCAAUCUGGUGGCCUCUCUUGCAAGGUUACGUGAAUCAAAACUUGUUUUUACUCUAUAACAAAAGAAAACAAGACUACUUACGUGUGUCUUUCCGUGGUUAGGUACUUGAGAAAGAAGCUUUUGAGAAGCAAAUGUUGGAGAAACUCAUUUGGAUUUGUGCGUUUAUGCUUGUUGGAGCUCGUCAUCCAGGUGCAAGUGUUGGCAUUGUGGAGAAAGAAUACAGAGACGAAGUACAAAAGUCUCCAUCCCUCUGUUCUUGUUUUAGCAUUCAGAAAAUCGUUGUUCACGUCUAACUUCUAAUUAAUUUAUAAGUUCAGGUGUCGAGACUCAUCCAAGAACUCGCAGCAGCUGCUGCUGCAGAAAAGGGACUAACGUUUGAAGACAACAUGGUGGAGAGACUAUGUGCUUAUUCUCGCGCUGUUGCUCAUUUCCCAACCGCUGUUAAAGAAGUAUACAUAUACAUAUUGAUCUCACCUCUUAAGUCCUUGUGUGGACUAGUAUCUUGUGUCUCAGCUAGUUUUAUUAUUAUUACUGCAGUUUAAAUGGAGGAAUGGUUGGUUUUAUUCGCUCUCCGAGAAGGCGAUUGUAGAAGGGAAACCUGAUCCGUGUCAACUCCACACCCAGUGGCUGAGAGAGCUAAAAGUGAUAUAGAGCCUUGACGGUACGUGACACUUUAGUAGAUAGUCGCAGAUCAUUGAUCUGAAACUUGUUUGAGCUUUGUACACGUAUGAGAAGCC
RNAcentral lists this long non-coding RNA (11385 nucleotides) under Brassica napus (rape). The record is from RNAcentral. Lineage: Eukaryota; Viridiplantae; Streptophyta; Magnoliopsida; Brassicales; Brassicaceae.